Molecule: ribosomal RNA, 549 nt
Filed under: uncultured bacterium
Lineage: Bacteria
Description: bacterial SSU rRNA
Rfam family: Bacterial small subunit ribosomal RNA
Source: RNAcentral
AGGGAAUCUUCGGCAAUGGGGGCAACCCUGACCGAGCAACGCCGCGUGAGUGAAGAAGGUUUUCGGAUCGUAAAGCUCUGUUGUAAGUCAAGAACGAGUGUGAGAGUGGAAAGUUCACACUGUGACGGUAGCUUACCAGAAAGGGGCGGCUAACUACGUGCCAGCAGCCGCGGUAAUACGUAGGUCCCGAGCGUUGUCCGGAUUUAUUGGGCGUAAAGCGAGCGCAGGCGGUUUGAUAAGUCUGAAGUUAAAGGCUGUGGCUCAACCAUAGUUCGCUUUGGAAACUGUCAAACUUGAGUGCAGAAGGGGAGAGUGGAAUUCCAUGUGUAGCGGUGAAAUGCGUAGAUAUAUGGAGGAACACCGGUGGCGAAAGCGGCUCUCUGGUCUGUAACUGACGCUGAGGCUCGAAAGCGUGGGGAGCGAACAGGAUUAGAUACCCUGGUAGUCCACGCCGUAAACGAUGAGUGCUAGGUGUUGGAUCCUUUCCGGGAUUCAGUGCCGCAGCUAACGCAUUAAGCACUCCGCCUGGGGAGUACGACCGCAAGGUUG